Hyla sarda is the source of this 1068-nucleotide long non-coding RNA. RefSeq lists it as uncharacterized. NCBI's taxonomy places the organism in Eukaryota, Metazoa, Chordata, Amphibia, Anura, Hylidae. The transcript has 3 exons. The record is from RefSeq and is a predicted model, not a curated record.
GGAAACUCACCUCCGGGACGCAGCGCCGCCGGGACCGCCUGGAGGACGCCGCUCGUGCCGGGACCGCUCGGGACACCGCAUGGCCAGGAAUAGAAAGAGAGGAAAAUCCGUAGCGAAAUUCCGCAAACUUACUGAUUUUUACCUCUCCCCCGGAGCCCUCUGACUCCCGCCAAAGCACUAGCGCGCACCAGCAUGCUGCACAAUCAACCUGCAGAAGCUCCUCAAUGCCUCCGUCCUCACCGCAGCCCGUUUCUCCCUCCAGGAGCUCCCCACAGAGUGCCAGCGCUUCCGGUCACCCUGCGCACAGAGCUGUCACAUCUGCCCCGGCAUCUCCCCUGUCGGGGAGCCCGGCGAAGCAGCGCCAGUGCCUCCAUGAUGCUGAGGAGGCUGAAGAUACUCCAGGGGGCACACAGGGUGCUGAAACCGAACCAUUUGGCAGACUACGUCCCUAGAGAUGUGCUGGCUAGGCUGCACUAUUUCCAUAUCAAAGACGAACUUAUGGCUACCUCUAGGAAAACACCCCCAUUACCUGGAGAAUUUGGGAAGAUUACUCUCUUUACAGACUUGUCUGCAGCCACUUUACAGCAAAGGAGAUAAUUUUUCCCUAACACCUCAAUCCUGAGAAAGCAUAAAAUCCUAUAUCGCUGGGGAUUUCCUGUUUGUCUGUUAAUCCAAAGGGAUAAUGCACUACAUAUUAUUAAAUCCGUUGAAGUAGGUCAUCAACUAUUGAUUAAGUGGCAACCACCUGGAGACAGCAAUACACCUACAUCUCGCCCUCCAUCAACUAAGGUGGACUCGGGAUGGCACACAGUGAGUUCGGUGAGAUGAGUCCACACCAGCGAAAGAAUGGACCGGUCUGAUUGGCUGUAUUGGCUCAAGUGGACUAUGCUCCUUAACACGAUAUCUGUUGAGAUGGCACUCUACAGGAUCUUCCACAUUGUCGCUAUGUGUUGGUUACUUACUUUAUUCUUCCCUUUUUGUCUGUUUUGUUUUUUGUUUCUCUCCUACAGGUGGACCUUCUUUUUGUCAAUGCUACGUGAGAUGCUGCAAUAUUCUCAUAUGUACAAG